This is a long non-coding RNA of Syngnathus acus (greater pipefish), 1394 nucleotides long. RefSeq lists it as uncharacterized. The record is from RefSeq and is a predicted model, not a curated record. Lineage: Eukaryota; Metazoa; Chordata; Actinopteri; Syngnathiformes; Syngnathidae. The transcript is spliced from 3 exons.
ACACAAAGAAAAUAACCAAGCUAGUUCCCUUUUCCACGGAGCAGCUUGAUGAGAAGAGCGUGACAGGAGAGGGAAUACGGCGAGGCUAGAAAAAUCGUAUCUGCAGCUUUUCAUGAAUAACAAGGCGACAGAAGCGGGAAUAGAAAAGGAUGCACUUCUUGUUUCGCUUCUGUAGAAUGUGGAAAUGAGCUCAUGCCUGGUUAAUCAUAAUUGACCAACACGGCCAGAACAAACCAGAGAACUAAAUACAAGCAAGGAGGUACAGCUGGAUGAGACACGAAUGGCCGGAAAGAGCUGAUUGGUUAACAGAAUGAACCGGGCUGACAAGAACAGGGGAAGCAGCAGCCGAGGACACCUGGAUGACUUUCACAAGCUCCUGGCUGACCUAGUUAAGCAAACACACACACACACAUGGAGGAAGGCGCACAUAACACUUUGCUUUCCGCCCAAUUUGUCCAAGCAAUCCUCUCCCAAACAUAAGAUUCAAAUAGCACAGCCACACCAUGCCUAAACAGGCACAAACAAAAUAGUUGCUCCUGAAUGAAGGGAGGCGGACAUGACAGCUAAUAAUACUCUCGCUAGUUUGGAUGCCGGGCAAAGUUACUCAUUUGCGAGCUACACCUCAAAUAUUGUCUUUGUCUUUUGUGCGGGGCCUUUCCUCUGUGGUGUUUUGACUAUUAUGGCAUUUAUACAGUGUUGUCUACUCACAACACACACACACACACACACACACACACACUGUGCAGUGGGCCUCACACUACAGGAAGCCUGGAAGGCACAGAGAUCUUAUGGAAUGUUUGUGGAGAAAGGUGAGGUGUAAUGGAAUGUAAUUAUGGUCCCAGUUGGCGGCGCUUACAUGCAAACACACACACACACACACUAACUUGCACACAUUUCCAUCAUGAAUAUUGUUGAUUUAAUUGGAUGGGCUAAUCGCUCCCUUCAAAUGUGCUCAACCUUUGUUUCCAUGACAUACUGAGCAGUUAAGUGUGCUUGUGCCUUAAAUUGGUAUUUAUUCAGUUAUUACGUCCAUCUCGACUGUUGGUCAAACCUGCACUUUUAAUACAACAACAUCGUUUUCUUUAAAACAAAACAAAUUUUAACCUUGAAAAUGAAUUCCAUGCUUUUGUUUGUAAAGCUGAUGCAAAUGAUCUUUUUUUUGUUUGUUUUGUUUUAAGUUCCAAGACGUCUCCUGCCAGGAAUGACAUGCUACAUGAAUCAAAACAUUGCAAUUUAAAACAAAAAUCAAUUAUCAAGCUGAGACAGAAUUGUGUUGUUGCUAGGCGGAAUCCAAAUGCUUCCAUCCCAACUGCCCUAGGCGCCAAUGGAAAAAAAAAAAAUAAAUUGCAAAUUUGAAUGACCUCAAAAACCCAAAAAAAAAAAAAGAAAUUUAC